Globicephala melas (long-finned pilot whale) is the source of this 1812-nucleotide long non-coding RNA. RefSeq lists it as uncharacterized. Lineage: Eukaryota; Metazoa; Chordata; Mammalia; Artiodactyla; Delphinidae. The record is from RefSeq and is a predicted model, not a curated record.
GCCUAAUUACCUUCAAGCCUGGUGCGUUUAUCCCAGGAGUUCCCGUCCAGCCGGUGGUUUUGCGGUACCCAAACAAACUGGACACCAUCACCUGGACGUGGCAAGGCCCCGGAGCGUUGAAAAUCCUGUGGCUCACGUUGUGUCAGUUUCACAAUCAAGUGGAAAUUGAGGUUUGUAUAGAUACAGUGUUACACAAUGUUGUGUGGGAGUUUAUACAGAUGCCAUGUUAUACAAUGUUAUUCUGUCUGUAUUGUUAUAAUGUUACAUUGUGGUCUCUAUAGAUACAGCGUUACACAAUGUUAUUUUGAUGUCUCUAUACAUAUAAUGUUAUAUGGAUACAAUGAUAUAUAGGGGUCUCUGUAGAUAUAAUAUUAUACAGCGUCAUGUUGGUAUCUGUACAGAUCCAAAGUUAUACGUCAUCUGUCUUGCUUUGAACUUUUUCCAUUUCGCAGGGCUCCUCAAAGGUGCUUCCCAGGGGGUUUGCAUCAACUUUGUGUCUCUUGCGUGACUGUUUAUCCAUUCAGAUAGGAUUUUAAAAAUCAACAGGAAGCUAAGCCCGUCAUUCUUUUAUUAUGGUUAGCAUAGCUUAAGGGCAUACCUGCAAUUACUGAUUCUUUUGGCUUCUACUUCUACCCAGUGCUGACACUGCCGAUAUCGAACUGCUAAACUUACCAUACUGUUAUCCUGUUUAAUACUUGGUCAGACCAGGUAGACUGCCUCCCCGCAUUCAGCCCGUUUCCAAAGUCACAAUACCUGUCCUCCCUACUCAAAUAAGUAUGGUCACAUUCAUGCAGCCUGUAAACUUAAUUGAGUGGAUGAGGAAUAGGGUUUAUUUUCUUCAAAGGGGAGUUAACCUGCUACUCCUACACCCGAACAUGAGAGAUGAGUCUUACACAGCUUAAAGCAUUUCAUUUGCUACCUUCUGAUAAAUACUGCAGAGUGAUACCGAAUUUACAAAUGAGCCCGGCUUUCAGCCAGGUUUAUUCACUUCAGUAGAACAUAAGCCGCUUAAUUAUGAAGGACUGGGCUGGAAGGGCCGUGGCCCGGGUCCAAGGGUGGCUGGCCUGCAACCCACGGUAUUUUAUGUGGCUCGUUUGCUGGUGGCCGAGAGGCAGCAGCGGGGAGAGACUCCCAGGAAGAUGCUCUGUUUCAGACUGGUUUCUAAUUUGAAGAGUUGGAAAGAAACUGUAUGGCUUUGUGAAAUCACUCUAAAUUCUUUGCGUCACUCCUACAAGAAGCCAGUGCUGAUAUGAGGAACUGUUGCAACUUACAAAGUUUUUAAAAAAGGUAGCAGUAAGCGAGAGACUAGCAUUAUACGAUGAGAACUGAUAGGAUUUGGGGAUGUUCCUGUAUUCUUGAAUGUCCAUACUAGAGAAAAGGGCUCGGUGAUGGUCAUUUUCCUUUUCUACAAUGGGGGGUCGGCACAGGCUGUGAGACGUACUUAUUUAAAACACGCAGAGACACACGUUCCUGGGACAGUUUAUUAUAUUCUGCAAAUGCAGUAGUUGUCAAAAAGCUAAUAAUAGUCUUUCAAGUGGAAAUAAUUUGUCGUGUUACCCGCAACACAAAACUGAGACUUUAGAAGUGGAAGCACACCUGCGAUUCUUUCGAUUCCAAAGACUAAGCCCCUGUGCGAAGUCGUAAGCACGACUCUCUGGCUUCUGUGUCGGAGGAGUGGUGCUCCUGCUGAGGAAAGGUGGGUUGUGAGUUUACACACGUGUGCGUGCAUGGGCAGCAGUGACAACUCCAGAGACGAUGCCGGUGGAGGGCGCUCUGACAGAGGUCUUGAUUUGUCCGGGAGCAGGUUGUCAU